AUGAUCAAAUUUAUGGAAUAUUUCACCGGAUGUGCACUAUCUUACCCAAUUACACAGGAAAUGAUUACUUCAUUUAGGUUUAAGUUAGCCAGCAUACUAUUAUGUUGGAAAACAAACACUGCAGCAAGGACUACAAUCGUUGAAGAAAGUAACGAUGACACUAAUGGAGAUCCUGAUGAUGUUCAAAUAUUAGAAAGCCUAGAUGAUAUAAAAAUAUCAAAGAAAAAAAUCCCAUUAUCUGUUGAAAAUAAAUACAGAUCACUAAUAUCUAUUCUUUCUAAUAUGAGUGUACAUGAAUUAACAGCUGGACUCUGUAGCUUCAUUAAAUCAAUCAAUUACACUGAGAUUUUAGAGAAAGUAUGGAUCCAAAGUUCAAAGCCAUAUCCGAUUAGCUUGUCUCUCAGAAAACUACAAGAAAUGCUGAAGGAUGAUUUACCCAUGGACAAAGAUUGCUUUAAUUUGGUUGUACGGAAGAUUAUGUUUGAUGACAUCCAAAUGGCACAAAAAACAAAACAUUCAAUAGCAAAACAUUAUCUCGACAUGAAAUUUUGGAUGACUACUGAUUUUGGACGGCACCCAGAAUUCCGUAAGAAGUUAGAUGCUGAACAACUAGCAAAUACUGUUCGUAAUUGGCCUGGUAUAAAAUAUAAUGUUUCAACAUGCAAAACGAUUCAUAUUCCAGUACAAUCCAACAGUGAUUUCAUUCUAUUCACAUUGGACAAAGAUACCAGAACUGUGUACAUUUUGGACCCUGCUCCUAUUAAUCCCAUGUACCGAUGGAACCCACUCGCAAAAUAUGUGCGCAAAAUUAUAUGGAUUGCAGAACACUUACAAAAGGCAAUGUCAAAAGCAUGCCCUGGGUCUAUAUGGAAUGAGGAUAUUCUCCUAUGGCAUCAAAAAAUCCUAGAUGAUAUUCCGGUUUACAACAGGGAACUGUCCGGUUAUGUUGUUCCUCUGUUCAUGUCCACAUGGGAAAAUGAAAGACCACAUUUGCCAAUUUUAAAGAAUGGAUAUGAACUCAGAAAAAUUAUUUUGGGCCAACUCCUAACAUUCAAGGACAAUGAAAGUGAAGAUAACAUGCCUGCCGGUGUACUUGAAUUCAUCAAUUGUAUCAGGAAAAUCCAA
Molecule: ribosomal RNA, 1125 nt
Filed under: Triticum aestivum (bread wheat)
Lineage: Eukaryota; Viridiplantae; Streptophyta; Magnoliopsida; Poales; Poaceae
Description: partial small subunit ribosomal RNA
Source: RNAcentral